GACGAACGCUGGCGGCGUGCUUAACACAUGCAAGUCGAACGGAAAGGCCCUGCUUUUGUGGGGUGCUCGAGUGGCGAACGGGUGAGUAACACGUGAGUAACCUGCCCUUGACUUUGGGAUAACUUCAGGAAACUGGGGCUAAUACCGGAUAGGAGCUCCUGCUGCAUGGUGGGGGUUGGAAAGUUUCGGCGGUUGGGGAUGGACUCGCGGCUUAUCAGCUUGUUGGUGGUGUAGUGGCUUACCAAGGCUUUGACGGGUAGCCGGCCUGAGAGGGUGACCGGCCACAUUGGGACUGAGAUACGGACCAGACUCCUACGGGAGGCAGCAGUGGGGAAUAUUGCACAAUGGGCGGAAGCCUGAUGCAGCAACGCCGCGUGCGGGAUGACGGCCUUCGGGUUGUAAACCGCUUUCGCCUGUGACGAAGCGUGAGUGACGGUAAUGGGUAAAGAAGCACCGGCUAACUACGUG
RNAcentral lists this ribosomal RNA (468 nucleotides) under uncultured bacterium. RNAcentral's name for it is "partial 16S ribosomal RNA". It matches the Rfam family "Bacterial small subunit ribosomal RNA", at positions 28 to 507 of the family's 1533-position model. The record is from RNAcentral.